UGGGAACGUGCCUUUUGGUUCGGAACAACACAGGGAAACUUGUGCUAAUACCGGAUAAGCCCUUACGGGGAAAGAUUUAUCGCCAAAAGAUCGGCCCGCGUCUGAUUAGCUAGUUGGUGAGGUAACGGCUCACCAAGGCGACGAUCAGUAGCUGGUCUGAGAGGAUGAUCAGCCACACUGGGACUGAGACACGGCCCAGACUCCUACGGGAGGCAG
Molecule: ribosomal RNA, 216 nt
Filed under: uncultured bacterium
Lineage: Bacteria
Description: partial 16S ribosomal RNA
Rfam family: Bacterial small subunit ribosomal RNA
Source: RNAcentral